This is a long non-coding RNA of Dioscorea cayenensis subsp. rotundata (Guinea yam), 127 nucleotides long. RefSeq lists it as uncharacterized. NCBI's taxonomy places the organism in Eukaryota, Viridiplantae, Streptophyta, Magnoliopsida, Dioscoreales, Dioscoreaceae. The record is from RefSeq and is a predicted model, not a curated record. The transcript has 3 exons.
CUCCUGUGGAUUAAAGUUGGGGUUUUCAGAAAUUGAGGGAUAUUCAACCGAUACUUGCCUUCUCAGUGCUGGCUGUGGUGGUUAAGGAUUUGGAUUUCCCUUAUGAUGGUUCUCAAUUGGUGGAUAU